This 238-nucleotide ribosomal RNA is filed under the name uncultured bacterium. RNAcentral's name for it is "partial 16S ribosomal RNA". It matches the Rfam family "Bacterial small subunit ribosomal RNA", at positions 113 to 334 of the family's 1533-position model. The record is from RNAcentral.
CAACGUAAACAACCUGCCUUCAGGAUGGGGACAACAGACGGAAACGACUGCUAAUACCGAAUAAGUUCCAAGAGCCGCAUGGCCCAUGGAAGAAAAGGUGGCCUCUACCUGUAAGCUAUCGCCUGAAGAGGGGUUUGCGUCUGAUUAGCUGGUUGGAGGGGUAACGGCCCACCAAGGCGACGAUCAGUAGCCGGUCUGAGAGGAUGAACGGCCACACUGGAACUGAGACACGGUCCAG